UUAGAACAGAGCACAAUUUAAUUGCUUUAGCUAAAAGAUUGCAAAAACAUGAACAUGUUGACAGAAACUAACACAUCAAAAAGAAGUUCUAUGGUAUGCUUUAUAAGUCACAACAAUGUGUGAAUAAAACUUACAAAGUUAAAAAUGUCUUUUCACUAAUCAAAGUUCAAGUCCAGUAGACAAGUUCAUCUAUGAAUCCGUAAUGUUGACUACCUCAAACUUAACUUUCUGGGAAACUGCAUACAUAUCCAUCUUGAGUGAUUGAAAAAGUGGAUGUAUUUCGUUUCCUAAAAACCAUGAUACAGGUUAGAAGUUCAGAACUAAAGUGGAUGUUUUAUUUUGUAGAAACCAUGAAACCAAUGAGAAUUCGACAAAGUAUUCUUGAAACAAACUGAGAUUUAAGUUAAGUAAGAUAACAGUACAAGUAUGAAACUGCAUAAGUGAUAAUCCUGCAUCAUACUCGUAAAUGAAACUAUAAUCUUUCAUAUUUCAAGGCAUAUAUUCAAAUAUUGCACACGAAAACAAAACAAACAAAAAACUGUAAGCAUCAUGCCACCAUGGAAAUCAUGAACCAUGCAUACUCCCCGAAAUGACCAACCUUUCCAAUAUUUUCAUGGGAAGACAUUGGAGAAAACAUCAAAAGGUUGGAAUAUCACGAAGUGCUAGCAGUUAAAUUUUGAGGAAGAAAAUACUAAUGACCAUGGAUCUAAGUGGACAAGCCAAAGGCAACCAAAGAUGAUAGAGAAUCAAAUCAUACCUUCCAAAUCACAACUCUUGCUCAACAAUAACAACCUGAACAUAAAUAACCAGAUUUUUAAAAGGCAGCUAAAUUCCAAUUAAUGUAAGUAAUGUCGUUUCACAUUCCGUAUAGUAUUUAGGACAUCAUUGUGGGAGAAACGAUAUGAUAGGCUCCGAGACAAUAUAAGCAUGUCUCAACAUCUCCUUCCACACACAUGUCCACACUCUCAAC
Molecule: long non-coding RNA, 970 nt
Filed under: Hordeum vulgare
Lineage: Eukaryota; Viridiplantae; Streptophyta; Magnoliopsida; Poales; Poaceae
Description: long non-coding RNA (HVUL_LNC011231)
Source: RNAcentral